GGGCCAUACGAUGUGACAGCCAAACACAAGUCUGUGCAUGAAUGUGUGCAGAUACGUCUGUCGUUUAAACGAUGACUGAGUGUUCUGCCUUUUUCACAUGGGAUCCUGGCCCAACAUCCAAGACGGGGUACAAUGUGUUGUUUUGUUUUUUUUAUUUUUGUGAAAUCCCAUUGUUGUUGUUACAAAAUGGACCCUGCAAGGGCAAAAGGGACAGUGGAUGGAUAAAUGCAGCAGUCAGGUUUCUUUCCACACAGUCCCGGAGCCCACUGGACAGGGUACAGAUAAGGACGUGGGGUUUCUGACUGUAUGGUACUUCGGAGAUGAGGAGAAGAAGGACUCAAGGGAGGGAAUUGCUGUAUACAGUAUGGAAUAUUAAAAUCUGAAUGCUGCAAGACUCACUGGUUCAUAUCAAAUCCCUAAGAACCACUCCAUGAUCCCUGAAUCAAGCAAAAAAAAUCUAAAUGCAUGUAAAUACAAGAAUUUAUUUAACUUAAAUUAAGCUAGAUAGUAUUCGAAUGCUAAAAGCCACACAAAUCGAUUUAGGUCUUGGUUGUUCCCCUAUUAAAUAAUGUAUCACUCAAACACAUAUUGUCUUCAAAUGGCACCAUAACAAAAUCCUAUACAGAGAAUGAGUCCAUCAGAAUAAGCGGUCAUUUUGCUGUGGUAAGCAUACACAGAUUGACCUGAAAGCUAAUUGCAGCCUUGGCAGUAAUGAGAAAAGUGUCUUUCAUGCCAGAGAUAGAAGCUCAGACCAUAUGUUGUUCAAAUGAUCUAGAUUCUAUUUUCUGUUCCUGUGGUCGUUUGUACGAAAUACAGACCUUGUGAAGUUAUUGCGCAAUAUGAGAAAUAAUUA
This is a long non-coding RNA of Paramormyrops kingsleyae, 853 nucleotides long. RefSeq lists it as uncharacterized. The record is from RefSeq and is a predicted model, not a curated record. NCBI's taxonomy places the organism in Eukaryota, Metazoa, Chordata, Actinopteri, Osteoglossiformes, Mormyridae.